This 468-nucleotide ribosomal RNA is filed under the name uncultured bacterium. RNAcentral's name for it is "partial 16S ribosomal RNA". It matches the Rfam family "Bacterial small subunit ribosomal RNA", at positions 28 to 507 of the family's 1533-position model. The record is from RNAcentral.
GACGAACGCUGGCGGCGUGCUUAACACAUGCAAGUCGAACGGAAAGGCCCUGCUUUUGUGGGGUGCUCGAGUGGCGAACGGGUGAGUAACACGUGAGUAACCUGCCCUUGACUUUGGGAUAACUUCAGGAAACUGGGGCUAAUACCGGAUAGGUGCUCCUGCUGCAUGGUGGGGGUGGGAAAGUUUCGGCGGUUGGGGAUGGACUCGCGGCUUAUCAGCUUGUUGGUGGGGUAGUGGCUUACCAAGGCUUUGACGGGUAGCCGGCCUGAGAGGGUGACCGGCCACAUUGGGACUGAGAUACGGCCCAGACUCCUACGGGAGGCAGCAGUGGGGAAUAUUGCACAAUGGGCGGAAGCCUGAUGCAGCAACGCCGCGUGCGGGAUGACGGCCUUCGGGUUGUAAACCGCUUUCGCCUGUGACGAAGCGUGAGUGACGGUAAUGGGUAAAGAAGCACCGGCUAACUACGUG